RNAcentral lists this ribosomal RNA (433 nucleotides) under uncultured bacterium. RNAcentral describes it as "partial 16S ribosomal RNA". It matches the Rfam family "Bacterial small subunit ribosomal RNA", at positions 29 to 507 of the family's 1533-position model. The record is from RNAcentral.
AACGAACGCUGGCGGCAGGCCUAACACAUGCAAGUCGAGCGCGCCCUUCGGGGUGAGCGGCGGACGGGUGAGUAACGCGUGGGAACGUGCCCUUUUCUACGGAAUAGCCUCGGGAAACUGAGAGUAAUACCGUAUACGCCCUUUGGGGGAAAGAUUUAUCGGAAAAGGAUCGGCCCGCGUUGGAUUAGGUAGUUGGUGGGGUAAUGGCCUACCAAGCCGACGAUCCAUAGCUGGUUUGAGAGGAUGAUCAGCCACACUGGGACUGAGACACGGCCCAGACUCCUACGGGAGGCAGCAGUGGGGAAUCUUAGACAAUGGGGGCAAGCCUGAUCUAGCCAUGCCGCGUGAGUGAUGAAGGCCUUAGGGUUGUAAAGCUCUUUCAGCUGGGAAGAUAAUGACGGUACCAGCAGAAGAAGCCCCGGCUAACUCCGUG